AGAGUUUGAUCCUGGCUCAGGAUGAACGCUGGCGGCGUGCCUAAUACAUGCAAGUCGAACGCGAGACGAGGGAGCUUGCUCCCUCCGAUCGAGUGGCGGACGGGUGAGUAACACGUAGGCAACCUGCCCAUCAGCCGGGGAUAACUGCGGGAAACCGUGGCUAAUACCGGAUAAACCUUUCCUCCGCAGGGAGGGGAGUUGAAAGACGGUUUCGGCUGUCGCUGAUGGAUGGGCCUGCGGCGCAUUAGCUGGUUGGUGGGGUAACGGCCCACCAAGGCGACGAUGCGUAGCCGACCUGAGAGGGUGAUCGGCCACACUGGGACUGAGACACGGCCCAGACUCCUACGGGAGGCAGCAGUAGGGAAUCUUCCGCAAUGGACGCAAGUCUGACGGAGCAACGCCGCGUGAGUGAAGAAGGGUUUCGGCUCGUAAAACUCUGUUGUUAAGGAGGAAUGACAGGUAGAGUAACUGCUACCUGUGUGACGGUACUUAACCAGAAAGCCACGGCUAACUACGUGCCAGCAGCCGCGGUAAUACGUAGGUGGCAAGCGUUAUCCGGAAUUAUUGGGCGUAAAGCGCGCGUAGGCGGUCUUUUAAGUCUGAUGUGAAAGCCCCCGGCUCAACCGGGGAGGGUCAUUGGAAACUGGGAGACUUGAGUGCAGAAGAGGAGAGUGGAAUUCCAUGUGUAGCGGUGAAAUGCGCAGAGAUAUGGAGGAACACCAGUGGCGAA
This 730-nucleotide ribosomal RNA is filed under the name uncultured bacterium. Its description in RNAcentral is "bacterial SSU rRNA". It matches the Rfam family "Bacterial small subunit ribosomal RNA", at positions 8 to 719 of the family's 1533-position model. The record is from RNAcentral.